UUUAUCUCAAUGGGCGAAAGCCUGAAGGAGCGACGCCGCGUGGGGGAUGAAUGGCUUCGGCCCGUAAACCCCUGUCAUUUGCGAUCAAACCUUACGACCUAACACGUCGUAAGCUGAUAGUAGCGGAAGAGGAAGGGACGGCUAACUCUGUGCCAGCAGCCGCGGUACAACGUAGGACACAAGCGUUAUCCGGAGUUACUGGGCGUAAAGGGCGUGUAGGCGGGUGUGUAAGUCUACUCUGAAAGCUCCUGGCUAAACUGGGAGAGGCGAGUGGAGACUGCAUGUCUAGAGUGAGGAAGAGGAAAGUGGAAUUCCGCGUGUAGUGGUGAAAUGCGUAGAGAUGCGGAGGAACACCAGUGGCGAAAGCGACUUUCUGGUCCUUAACUGACGCUGAGGCGCGAAAGCAUGGGGAGCGAAC
Molecule: ribosomal RNA, 418 nt
Filed under: uncultured bacterium
Lineage: Bacteria
Description: bacterial SSU rRNA
Rfam family: Bacterial small subunit ribosomal RNA
Source: RNAcentral